GCAUCUGUAGCCUAGUUGGUAAAGGAAGCACUCUUGUAUGUGACUCAGCAUUGCUGAGGUUGUGAGUUCAAAUCUCACCAGACACA
RNAcentral lists this transfer RNA (86 nucleotides) under Puccinia graminis f. sp. tritici. RNAcentral's name for it is "tRNA-Lys". It matches the Rfam family "tRNA". From Rfam's summary of the family: Transfer RNA (tRNA) molecules are approximately 80 nucleotides in length. Their secondary structure includes four short double-helical elements and three loops (D, anti-codon, and T loops). Further hydrogen bonds mediate the characteristic L-shaped molecular structure. tRNAs have two regions of fundamental functional importance: the anti-codon, which is responsible for specific mRNA codon recognition, and the 3' end, to which the tRNAs corresponding amino acid is attached (by aminoacyl-tRNA synthetases). tRNAs cope with the degeneracy of the genetic code in two manners: having more than one tRNA (with a specific anti-codon) for a particular amino acid; and 'wobble' base-pairing, i.e. permitting non-standard base-pairing at the 3rd anti-codon position. The record is from RNAcentral. Lineage: Eukaryota; Fungi; Basidiomycota; Pucciniomycetes; Pucciniales; Pucciniaceae.